RNAcentral lists this ribosomal RNA (406 nucleotides) under uncultured bacterium. RNAcentral describes it as "partial 16S ribosomal RNA". It matches the Rfam family "Bacterial small subunit ribosomal RNA", at positions 30 to 526 of the family's 1533-position model. The record is from RNAcentral.
AUUGAACGCUGGCGGAAGGCCUAACACAUGCAAGUCGAACGAGUGGCGGAAGGGUGAGGAAUGUCUGGGAAACUGCCAGAAGGAGGGGGAUACCUACUGGAAACGGUAGCUAAUACCGCAUAACACCGGAUGUGACCAGAUGGGAUUAGCUUGUUGGUGAGGGAACGGCUCACCUAGGCGACGAUCACUAGCUGGUCUUAGAGGAUGACCAGCCACACUGGAACUGAGACACGGUCCAGACUCCUACGGGAGGCAGCAGUGGGGAAUAUUGCGCAAUGGGCGCAAGCCUGAUGCAGCCAUGCCGCGUGUAUGAAGAAGGCCUUCGGGUUGUAAAGUACUUUCAGCGGGGAGGCGUUACCCGCAGAAUAAGCACCGGCUAACUCCGUGCCAGCAGCCGCGGUAAUUC